Molecule: ribosomal RNA, 254 nt
Filed under: uncultured bacterium
Lineage: Bacteria
Description: partial 16S ribosomal RNA
Rfam family: Bacterial small subunit ribosomal RNA
Source: RNAcentral
UACGUAGGGGGCUAGCGUUGUCCGGAAUCAUUGGGCGUAAAGCGCGUGUAGGCGGUCCGGUAAGUCCGCUGUGAAAGUCGGGGGCUCAACCCUCGGAUGCCGGUGGAUACUGUCGGGCUUGAGUACGGAAGAGGCGAGUGGAAUUCCCGGUGUAGUGGUGAAAUGCGUAGAUAUCGGGAGGAACACCAGUGGCGAAGGCGACUACCUGGCCUGUUUCUUGACGCUGAGGCGCGAAAGCUAGGGGAGCAAACGGG